Long non-coding RNA from Callorhinchus milii (elephant shark), 310 nucleotides. RefSeq lists it as uncharacterized. The record is from RefSeq and is a predicted model, not a curated record. NCBI's taxonomy places the organism in Eukaryota, Metazoa, Chordata, Chondrichthyes, Chimaeriformes, Callorhinchidae. The transcript has 2 exons.
UAAAUAAAUCGCCAAGUCCGGGCACUGUUACGAAGCUGUUGUGAUGCUCUUUGAGUAAAAUGGCACAAGGCGAUCGCAGCGCAGGGUUUGCCUUGUGGGACUAUUGCCCGUCACCGCACUUUCUCACGACGAGGCUCUCACACACCAACAGUCUCUCCCGAGAGAAACACUGGAAGCCGAUCAGCCCGGAAUAACCCUCUCAGAUAUGCCUCCAUCCCUGCAACCAGACCGCACCGCACUGCAACACGUGUAUCAAAGGUGUGAAAAUCAAUUGCAUUUGGAAGGAAAGAUUCGUGAAGAAAAGAAAACA